RNAcentral lists this ribosomal RNA (253 nucleotides) under uncultured bacterium. Its description in RNAcentral is "partial 16S ribosomal RNA". It matches the Rfam family "Bacterial small subunit ribosomal RNA", at positions 524 to 776 of the family's 1533-position model. The record is from RNAcentral.
GACAGAGGGUGCAAACGUUGCUCGGAUUUACUGGGCGUAAAGCGCGUGUAGGCGGGCGAAUAAGUCGGGUGUGAAAUCCCUGGGCUCAACCUAGGAACUGCAUCCGAAACUGUUCACCUGGAGUGAUGGAGAGGAAGGCGGAAUUCCCGGUGUAGAGGUGAAAUUCGUAGAUAUCGGGAGGAACACCAGUGGCGAAGGCGGCCUUCUGGACAUUUACUGACGCUGAGACGCGAAAGCGUGGGGAGCAAACAGG